Molecule: long non-coding RNA, 1485 nt
Organism: Drosophila biarmipes
Lineage: Eukaryota; Metazoa; Arthropoda; Insecta; Diptera; Drosophilidae
Exons: 3
Source: RefSeq, a predicted model, not a curated record
AGAGUUGUUGAACGUAAAUAACGUUUAGUCUUAAGACCUAGUGUUAGGAUUAUUAGUAUUAAGAACCAUGAACCAAUUUAUCGUUUUUGAUGAAUUAUGUAUGAGGUUAGCACUCAUUAACUUGGCUGUCGUCAAAACCAUUGAACAACUGAACAAGUUAACACAAUAAUAUCAGAAAUAGGCACAUCCUUUGAGCGUUGGGAAUACUGCAGCCCAAUAUUCCUCGAUGUUUUUCAAGCCUUCGAUCGUGUAUGGCUAGAUGGCCUCAUACACAAAAUCAAAACAAACUUGUCUUAUUACACUCACAAGCUACUUGAGACGUAUCGCUAUAACAGAACCUUCGCAGUAAGGUUCAACAUGAUAACAUUCCACGACUAUAUUAUCAAAGUUGGUGUCCCGCAACGAAGCGCGCUAGGGCCUACUCUGUUCCUCCUAUACACAGCGGAUAUCCCCAUAGGUGCCCAGGCGGAGGCACAACACAGCUAGCAAAAUACCUCCCCAUAGUAGAGAGGUUGCUACCUGAUUGGCGGAUUAAAAUAAAUGAACAAAAAUGUAAACACAUAACGCUUACUCUCAACAGGCAAACAUGCCCUCCACUAUCAUUGAAUAAUACGCAGGUUCCCCAAGUCAACGACGUAACGUCCACCUUGACAGACGACUAACCUGGACAAGAAACAUCUAACGCAAGAAAGUACGUCUAUAGACAAUUAAGGAUUGAAACUAGAGAAAACUUCCCGACAUAUUCUCUUUAUCUAAAAAAGAUAACACAACACUUGCUAAAACAAGCAGCAAUGAUUUUAGGCCAUCGGGACGCAGACCCAUUCGAUAACUAUAAACUCAGACGUCAUGAUAAUCGAAGGAAUUCGGGAGGUUCACAUCAAAAUUAUUGUUGACAAAAAUAUAAUUUCCAAUCAAAGUGCUAUCCAAGAUAUAACAAUAUCAAUUCAAGGGAUAAAAAUAAUUCAAAUAAUUCAUCAAGUCUCCAAGUCUCCAAGGUUCACAAAAUAAAAAUCGGAUUUUCCCUAAGAACCAAGACUUCGAGACCAAAUCUUGGGCGUCGUCUUCAUUAUCGACGCGGUCAAAGCAGAUAUCUUGCUGCUUGGAUAAGGCUACAGGCGCCGCGGAACUGGCAUUGAGCUUCAUGGACAACACGGCCCACAAAAGAACACAAGCGAUGCAAGCGUGUCGGGUUAACUAAUCCUUAGGAGCUCCUGGGGAAAAGAAGGAUCAGCCCAAAUUACCCCUUCUUUUCCGUGACCGAGUAAUUAACCAGGAGUUUGUUUAUCCUGGACGAAAAAAAGAAUUAGGUCAUGGUUCCGCUGAAACAGUAUUGCGCCGACGCCAACGUGAGAAGCGUCACACUGGAUGCAGAAAUGAGGAGAAACUCCUCCGAUUUUCUUUUGCAAGCAAAUGGAAGGUAAGGUAAUUUAAAGUCUUGUUUUCCGCUGGACCCCUAAAGAAAAUAUACAAUUUGUAGUAUGCUUA